This 253-nucleotide ribosomal RNA is filed under the name uncultured bacterium. Its description in RNAcentral is "partial 16S ribosomal RNA". It matches the Rfam family "Bacterial small subunit ribosomal RNA", at positions 524 to 776 of the family's 1533-position model. The record is from RNAcentral.
GACAGAGGGGGCAAGCGUUGCUCGGAAUUACUGGGCGUAAAGGGUGCGUAGGCGGUCGCGCAAGUCGGAUGUGAAAUCUCAGGGCUCAACCCUGAAACUGCAUUCGAUACUGCGUGGCUAGAGUGCUGGAGAGGAGACUGGAAUUUACGGUGUAGCAGUGAAAUGCGUAGAUAUCGUAAGGAAGACCAGUGGCGAAGGCGAGUCUCUGGACAGCAACUGACGCUGAGGCACGAAGGCCAGGGGAGCAAACGGG